AAGUCGUAACAAGGUUUCCGUAGGUGGAAGGAUCAUUAACACGUAUCCAACGUUAAACCCCCCGUGCACACAGCGACCUGCUCCCCUCAAUUUCGGUCUUUUGGCAAUCCCUGGUAAAUCAUCGCCGAACAGUUUUGAUUCAGGGACAUCCAAAGGGCCGGGGUAGGGUAUUAAAGUAGUCAAUGCUGGUUUCUUUGAAGCAGAAAGUGUGAUGGCGUGAGCCGGAGAACGGACCGAGUGGUAGUUCAAAGGUGCCUUCUGUCGCGCACUGUGGAAAGGAAGACGCUUUACGAAUCACUGUCCAACUCCUAGACCCCAUAUUCACCACCACAGUCGCAGACGAGGUAGGGAUACGUCCUUACCACCAAAUAAAUACUUGAACAACUGUUAACAAUGGAUAUCUUGGUUCUC
RNAcentral lists this unclassified non-coding RNA (411 nucleotides) under fungal sp. RNAcentral describes it as "partial internal transcribed spacer region". Lineage: Eukaryota; Fungi. The record is from RNAcentral.